This 812-nucleotide ribosomal RNA is filed under the name uncultured bacterium. RNAcentral describes it as "bacterial SSU rRNA". It matches the Rfam family "Bacterial small subunit ribosomal RNA", at positions 56 to 867 of the family's 1533-position model. The record is from RNAcentral.
UGCAAGUCGAACGGAGAUUACAGGCGGAAGUUUUCGGAUGGAAGCUUGUAAACUUAGUGGCGGACGGGUGAGUAACACGUGAGCAACCUGCCUAUCAGAGGGGGAUAACGAUUGGAAACGAUCGCUAAUACCGCAUGACAUAGCGGAAUCGCAUGGUUCUGUUAUCAAAGAUUUUAUCGCUGAUAGAUGGGCUCGCGUCCGAUUAGAUAGUUGGUGGGGUAACGGCCUACCAAGUCGACGAUCGGUAGCCGGACUGAGAGGUCGAACGGCCACAUUGGGACUGAGACACGGCCCAGACUCCUACGGGAGGCAGCAGUGGGGGAUAUUGCACAAUGGGGGAAACCCUGAUGCAGCGACGCCGCGUGAGGGAAGACGGUCCUCUGGAUUGUAAACCUCUGUCUUCGGGGACGAAACGAGACGGUACCCGAGGAGGAAGCCACGGCUAACUACGUGCCAGCAGCCGCGGUAAUACGUAGGUGGCAAGCGUUGUCCGGAAUUACUGGGUGUAAAGGGAGCGUAGGCGGGCAGGCAAGUCAGGCGUGAAAUAUAUCGGCUCAACCGGUAACGGCGCUUGAAACUGCAGGUCUUGAGUGAAGUAGAGGUUGGCGGAAUUCCUAGUGUAGCGGUGAAAUGCGUAGAUAUUAGGAGGAACACCAGUGGCGAAGGCGGCCAACUGGGCUUUUACUGACGCUGAGGCUCGAAAGUGUGGGGAGCAAACAGGAUUAGAUACCCUGGUAGUCCACACCGUAAACGAUGAUUACUAGGUGUGGGGGGACUGACCCCUUCCGUGCCGGAGUUAACACAAUAAGUAA